GGGCUGAUGAUGAUAAAUUUCAUAUCUUAGCGGAUUUCAGUGAGAACUUAUCAAUGAUCUGAAUGUUACACACACCGAAGCCU
Molecule: small nucleolar RNA, 83 nt
Organism: Papaver somniferum (opium poppy)
Lineage: Eukaryota; Viridiplantae; Streptophyta; Magnoliopsida; Ranunculales; Papaveraceae
Product: small nucleolar RNA R11/Z151
Exons: 1
Source: RefSeq, a predicted model, not a curated record